AUUGAACGCUGGCGGCAGGCCUAACACAUGCAAGUCGAGCGGAGGAAGGGAGCUUGCUCCUGGUUUCAGCGGCGGACGGGUGAGUAAUGCCUAGGAAUCUGCCUGGUUGUGGGUGAUAACGUCCGGAAACGGGCGCUAAUACCGCAUACGUCCUGAGGGAGAAAGUGGGGGAUCUUCGGACCUCACGCUAUCAGAUGAGCCUAGGUCGGAUUAGCUAGUUGGUGGGGUAAAGGCCUACCAAGGCGACGAUCCGUAACUGGUCUGAGAGGAUGAUCAGUCACACUGGAACUGAGACGAGGUCCAGACUCCUACGGGAGGCAGCAGUGGGGAAUAUUGGACAAUGGGCGAAAGCCUGAUCCAGCCAUGCCGCGUGUGUGAAGAAGGUCUUCGGAUUGUAAAGCACUUUAAGUUGGGAGGAAGGGCAGUAAGUUAAUACCUUGCUGUUUUGACGUUACCAACAGAAUAAGCACCGGCUAACUUCGUG
RNAcentral lists this ribosomal RNA (484 nucleotides) under uncultured bacterium. Its description in RNAcentral is "partial 16S ribosomal RNA". It matches the Rfam family "Bacterial small subunit ribosomal RNA", at positions 30 to 507 of the family's 1533-position model. The record is from RNAcentral.